This 235-nucleotide ribosomal RNA is filed under the name uncultured bacterium. Its description in RNAcentral is "partial 16S ribosomal RNA". It matches the Rfam family "Bacterial small subunit ribosomal RNA", at positions 355 to 582 of the family's 1533-position model. The record is from RNAcentral.
UGGGGAAUAUUGGACAAUGGGCGAAAGCCUGAUCCAGCCAUGCCGCGUGUGUGAAGAAGGUCUUCGGAUUGUAAAGCACUUUAAGUUGGGAGGAAGGGCAGUUACCUAAUACGUGAUUGUUUUGACGUUACCGACAGAAUAAGCACCGGCUAACUCUGUGCCAGCAGCCGCGGUAAUACAGAGGGUGCAAGCGUUAAUCGGAAUUACUGGGCGUAAAGCGCGCGUAGGUGGUUAG